Equus caballus (horse) is the source of this 2642-nucleotide long non-coding RNA. Lineage: Eukaryota; Metazoa; Chordata; Mammalia; Perissodactyla; Equidae. The record is from Ensembl.
CCCAGAUCUAACGUACAUUUACAAGCAGAAAGGACAUAAAGAAACCAGUUAAAUACCAUCACAAUAAGUAAAGAAAUGAGUAAAGAAUAUAUGAUGAUCACAUUGCCCACACCAAGAUUUUCUUGAAAGUUAAAGGAAGUACUAUUAAAUUCUUCUUUGCAGGGUGGCGUAUAAACUAGAACAGUCCCAUGUAAACUGUAAAGUUUAUUACUCAGAAUAUAAAUAUUCUGAAAGGCAACUGAUCUGUUUUUCAUAAAUUAAUAGUAUAAGAAAAAAAAAGAGGGGCUUAGUAGAUAAAUGUAAUGACUAGAUAUUGAUUUCUGGUUUUGUGGAUGUAUUUUGUGGAUAUGUUUUACAAAAACAGUGUAAAAAGACAUUGUGGAGACAAGCAGAGAAAUUGGAUUAUGUAUGCCCUGAGUAUUUAAUCAUACCAAAGAAUUAGUGAUAACUUUAUUAGGUGUUAUAAUGGUAUUAUAGUUUGUGAGAUUAUGUUUCCAUGUUUGUUAGACAUACAUACUGAAGAAUGUAGGAAUGAAAUGGAGGCUUGGAUUUGCUAUACUACCACAAUAGGGCAGAUUAAUAAAUUAUGGAGAAUAAUUGACAAUUGUUGAAUCUGGGUAGUAGAUAUGCAGAUUUACCAAACAGUUCACUCUACUUUUGUGUACAUUUAAAUAUUUCCUGACAAACCUCAAAAAAACAGGUCAUGUUAAAUCUCCAGUGUUGCUCUUAUGUCCUAAAGGAUGAAGAACCAUUAUUCUCUUUGCAAUGAACUCAGGAGUGUAUUGCACUUUUAGAAGUGAUGGGACCUCAAGGGACUAUAUCCUGGCACUUUGUUGGAUCUCCAUAUGUCCUUUUCAUUACUCCUGACACAAGGAAUCCAGGACUAUAACUCUCUUUCAACCAGCAAAAGUUUAAAUGCAAUAACUGACUUUGAAUUCUAGCCCCAUGGAUACAUGUGAGAACACUGACUCAUUUCUUUAAGCUUAGGCUUCCUAUAACGUAAAGCGUUAAAUGAGUACGGUACAGGGUUUCUGGAAAACUUUGAGGUAAUGUGUACGCAACACUCACGAAGGGCUUGGCGUGUAUCAGGUGAUCCUGCCUUACUUCACUUCCAGCAGAGUCAUGACCAACACGUAGAUACUUCUGAGUCACACAGGUUAUUGAAGAAAGCAACCACAUGACAAGUGACUGCCCACUGAUUUCAGAUCACAUGACUUUUAUUGAAAAUAUAUGUAUCUACCCUGCUUUUGGCAAUGUAUCCUCAAGUCCAGUAAAGGUCAUUUUGGGAACAAACUUGGCUCCUGUCAAAUUAAAAGGAAUUACAACCUCUAAAAAUAUCAAUGCUGUUUUUGGAAUCGAUUUAAAAAAAAACACACACACACACACACAUACACACAUCGAGGGUCCCAACACUGCCGUAUAGCAGACUAAAAUUAUUAACAGCAUAAACAAUAUCCCAUGGACUUUUUCUAAUGCUAUAGAUAUUAUUCUUUCUUAAUCAAACUGAAAUUUAAAAUAAGAGACAAAUAAAAAGAACCCAGAAAGGGCACAUAUUUCAUUUCUAUUAAAGUUUAAAAUAGGCCCUUUGAGGAAAGUAUCAACUCAAUUUCUCCUAAUUAAUCAGAGGGUCGAGUUGUGCUUACCUGAUGGUAUUCCUCCUCUUUUACCUGAGCACCAAAAGUUGUUGCUUAUCACCUUGGCAUCACCAAGAUAGGUGUUUGUCUCAGACGUGGCUCUGAAAGACGCUAUUUCUGGGAUACUGCAUUAUUUCUGUAGCUGUUGUUAUCGCUGAGACUCAAGCGGUCCCCAUUUCCUAAGAAACUUCCCCGAGACAGGAAUUGGGGUGAGGAGCAUGUUUACAUGCACUGGGUUUGCCCAUCCCUCCACGUGCCCCAUUAUAAACUAGGGGUUACCUGCUCCCUCUUCAAGGAGAAACACUGGGCUCUUCCUACUUCUCUGAAAAUAAAAGAGCCGUCUGAGAAAUACUAAGAAGAAGACAUUCACAGAGUGUUCUGGAUCUUUUAUCCAAACCUGGGGACUGAGUGGGAGAGAGUGGAGCUUCGUAGAGGUGAACACAUGGGCUUUGAAGAGCACGGAGGUCUUAUCUGGGACUGCUCUGAACCUGAGGGUUGCCAGUGCUGUGUAGUCAGCGGCAGGUGGAGGAACGCCUCCCUGAGCUGGGGUUUACAGUUUAACAAGUGGCCCAGAGCACUUGUGCUCAGCUCUUAAUGUGAACUUAUCAGACAAGUAUGCUUUUAUUCUUUGGAAAAGCAAAAAUGGAGAGAUACAGAAGCAAAAAGAGAAUAAUUUAACAACCAUCUGUGUACCUGCCAUUUGUAAUUAACAGAGGAGAAAGGUUGGGCUCAGGAAGCAAGAGUUACUUUCCCAGGAUCACACAGCAUGUACAUGGCUAAACGGGAAUUGAUAGCCCGCUCAUGUUCCUCCAGGACCAGGGCCUGUAAUCAGUAAGUUCUCUUAUGUCAGCAGGAUCACGUGAAGUUGCUAAAAUGGCUUCUACUGCACGUGGCACAAGCUGAGUCCUCCCCAGGGUCAAGCAGUCCCUCACUCAAGACAAGCUGUGCAAGCCCCUUACGUCCCCUUGGUGCUUUUUCAACAUAUCAGCUGCACAAGCUGAGUUCUGC